GCCCUCGGUCGAAGAGGACGACCUUCCCCGAAUAGAGGAGGACCGGUCUUCGGUCAAGGGUAUACGAGUAGCUGUGCUCCCCUGCUAGAACCUCCAAACAAGCUCUCAAGGUCUAGUCAUAAAUUUUUAAAGAAAUAACGUCAGUGAAUAUUUGC
Molecule: small RNA, 155 nt
Filed under: Cricetulus griseus (Chinese hamster)
Lineage: Eukaryota; Metazoa; Chordata; Mammalia; Rodentia; Cricetidae
Description: 7SK RNA (ENSCGRG00000022063.1)
Rfam family: 7SK RNA
About the family: 7SK was discovered as an abundant small nuclear RNA in the mid-70s but a possible function has only recently been suggested. Two independent studies have found that 7SK RNA binds the CDK9/cyclin T complex (known as elongation factor P-TEFb). P-TEFb activates transcription by phosphorylating the C-terminal domain of RNA polymerase II.
Source: RNAcentral